AACGAACGCUGGCGGCGUGGCUAAGACAUGCAAGUCGAACGGACCAAUGUAUUCAUAUAUUGGUUAGUGGCGAAAGGGUUAGUAACGGGUAGGUAACGUACCCUGUGCUUUGGGAUAGCGUCAGUUGCUUCGGCAACUUUCCGAAAGGGGCGGUAAUACCAAAUAAUAUCAUUUGUCAAUAGGCGGAUGAUCAAAGAUUUAUCGGCGCAGGAGCGGCCUGCCUCCUAUCAGCUUGUUGGUGAGGUAAUGGCUCACCAAGGCAACGACGGGUAGCGGGACUAAGAGGUUGACCCGCAACAUCGGGACUGAGACACUGCCCGGACCUCCACGGAGGGCUGCAGUAACGAAUAUUGCGCAAUGGGCGAAAGCCUGACGCAGCGACGCCGCGUGUAGGAGGAAGUCUCUCGGGAUGUAAACUACUGUCAGGGGGAAGAAAGUGCGCUUCGGUGCAUUGAUCUAACCCAGAGGAAGUCACGGCUAACUUCGUGCCAGCAGCCGCGGUAAGACGAAGGUGGCAAGCGUUGUUCGGUAUUACUGGGCUUAAAGCGUGUGUAGGCGGAAAAGCGAGCGUUCUGUGAAAGCCCCCGGCUUAACCGGGGAACUGCGCAACGAACUGCUUUUCUUGAGGCAAGUAGGGGUGCAUGGAACUCUUGGUGGAGCGGUGGAAUACGUAGAUAUCAAGAGGAACGCCAGUGGAGAAAUCGGUGCACUGGGCUUGUCCUGACGCUGAGACACGAAAGCGUGGGGAGCGAACGGGAUUAGAUACCCCGGUAGUCCACGCCGUAAACGACGCCUACUAGGUUGUGGGAGUUCUGACACUCGCACAGCCGAAGCUAAAGUGUUAAGUAGGCCGCCUGGGGAGUACGGUCGCAAGGCUA
Molecule: ribosomal RNA, 878 nt
Filed under: uncultured bacterium
Lineage: Bacteria
Description: bacterial SSU rRNA
Rfam family: Bacterial small subunit ribosomal RNA
Source: RNAcentral